UGGGGAAUAUUGCGCAAUGGGGGAAACCCUGACGCAGCAACGCCGCGUGAAGGAUGAAGGUUUUCGGAUUGUAAACUUCUUUGACGAGGGACGAAACAUGACGGUACCUCGAAAACAAGCCACGGCUAACUACGUGCCAGCAGCCGCGGUAAUACGUAGGUGGCGAGCGUUGUCCGGAAUUACUGGGUGUAAAGGGCGAGUAGGCGGGGCUGCAAGUCAGGUGUGAAAUUUAUGGGCUUAACCCGUAAACUGCAUUUGAAACUGCGGUUCUUGAGUGAUGGAGAGGCAGGCGGAAUUCCUAGUGUAGCGGUGAAAUGCGUAGAUAUUAGGAGGAACACCAGUGGCGAAGGCGGCCUGCUGGACAUUAACUGACGCUGAUGCGCGAAAGCGUGGGGAGCAAACAGG
RNAcentral lists this ribosomal RNA (405 nucleotides) under uncultured prokaryote. Its description in RNAcentral is "bacterial SSU rRNA". It matches the Rfam family "Bacterial small subunit ribosomal RNA", at positions 355 to 776 of the family's 1533-position model. The record is from RNAcentral. RNAcentral also lists the same sequence under 1 other name.